CCUACGGGCGUCAGCAGUGAGGAAUAUUGGUCAAUGGACGAGAGUCUGAACCAGCCAAGUAGCGUGAAGGAUGACUGCCCUAUGGGUUGUAAACUUCUUUUAUAUGGGAAUAAAAUGUUCCACGUGUGGGCUUUUGUAUGUACCCUAUGAAUAAGGAUCGGCUAACGCCGUUCCAGCAGCCGCGGUAAUCCGGAGGAUCCGAGCGUUAUCCGGAUUUAUUGGGUUUAAUGGGAGCGUAGGUGGAUUGGUAAGUCAGUUGUGAAAGUUUGCGGCUCAACCGGAACAUUGCAGUUGAAACUGGCAGGCUGGAGUAAAGUAGAGGUGGGCGGAAGUCGUGGUGUAGCGGUGAAAUGCUUAGAUAUCACGAAGAACACCGAUUGCGAAGGCAGUUCACUGGACUGCAACUGACACUGAGGCUCGAAAGUGUGGGUAUCAAACAGGAUUAGAUACCCUAGUAGUC
Molecule: ribosomal RNA, 460 nt
Filed under: uncultured bacterium
Lineage: Bacteria
Description: partial 16S ribosomal RNA
Rfam family: Bacterial small subunit ribosomal RNA
Source: RNAcentral